UACGAAGGGGGCUAGCGUUGUUCGGAAUCACUGGGCAUAAAGCGCACGUAGGCGGAUCUUUAAGUCAGAGGUGAAAUCCCAAGGCUCAACCUUGGAACUGCCUUUGAUACUGGGGAUCUUGAGUCCGGGAGAGGUGAGUGGAACUGCGAGUGUAGAGGUGAAAUUCGUAGAUAUUCGCAAGAACACCAGUGGCGAAGGCGGCUCACUGGCCCGGUACUGACGCUGAGGUGCGAAAGCGUGGGGAGCAAACAGG
This 253-nucleotide ribosomal RNA is filed under the name uncultured bacterium. RNAcentral's name for it is "partial 16S ribosomal RNA". It matches the Rfam family "Bacterial small subunit ribosomal RNA", at positions 524 to 776 of the family's 1533-position model. The record is from RNAcentral.